GUGUUCCUUCCCAAGGCAGGAGGGUGGAACUGGACAAUUCUUCUAAGCCAGUCCAUUGUAGGAUUCUAUGCUGUAGUCCUAUGAGUAUGACAUAGUCUCUUGGUGAUGGACAUUCCACGCCCAGGGCCCCGGUCCUGCUCCAAGCCAUGACAUGAGCACCAUCACAGCAACGCCCCAGGCUCUGCCUCCUCUGUUACCAGGUGACUGCAGGCAGUCAUGGUUCAGACGUGCUCACACAUCCCAUGUGUGAUCUGCUCCUGCUGGGCUUGCUACUGGCACUGGCCCUGUGCCCAAGGCACUCCAGGAAGCCCUUCUGGCACCCCUGAAUCUCUCCACAGUGUCAGCUGCUGGACUGCUGCCAUGCUGGCCUGACCACUGUGCCCCCAGCCACCAGUGGAUGGGAUCUUGCUAUCUUAAUAUUAACAGCAGUGCUCAAUUAAAACAAAGUGAUGGCUCUUGAGGA
Molecule: long non-coding RNA, 463 nt
Organism: Cyanistes caeruleus (blue tit)
Lineage: Eukaryota; Metazoa; Chordata; Aves; Passeriformes; Paridae
Source: RefSeq, a predicted model, not a curated record